This is a non-coding RNA of Beta vulgaris subsp. vulgaris (sugar beet), 70 nucleotides long. Lineage: Eukaryota; Viridiplantae; Streptophyta; Magnoliopsida; Caryophyllales; Amaranthaceae. The record is from Rfam.
UGCCUAUUAGCUCAAUAUGGGAGAGCAUUGGCAACACGCAAAGAUGUAGGUUCAACUCCUACAUAGGCAA